Molecule: ribosomal RNA, 402 nt
Filed under: uncultured bacterium
Lineage: Bacteria
Description: bacterial SSU rRNA
Rfam family: Bacterial small subunit ribosomal RNA
Source: RNAcentral
GGGCCCGCACAAGCGGUGGAGCAUGUGGUUUAAUUCGAUGAUACGCGAGGAACCUUACCAGGGCUUAAAUGUAGGUUGCAUGAUCUAGAGAUAGAUCUUUCUUCGGACUACCUACAAGGUGCUGCAUGGUUGUCGUCAGCUCGUGCCGUGAGGUGUCAGGUUAAGUCCUAUAACGAGCGCAACCCCUGUCGUUAGUUACCAGCAAUUAAAGUUGGGUACUCUAGCGAGACUGCCGGUGCAAACCGUGAGGAAGGUGGGGAUGACGUCAAAUCAUCACGGCCCUUACGUCCUGGGCUACACACGUGCUACAAUGGCCGGUACAGAGAGCAGCCACUACGCGAGUAGGAGCGAAUCUUCAAAGCCGGUCUCAGUUCGGAUCGCAGUCUGCAACUCGACUGCGUG